CCUACGGGAGGCAGCAGUGAGGAAUAUUUGUCAAUGGGCGCGAGCCUGAACCAGCCAAGUAGCGUGAAGGAUGACUGCCCUACGGGUUGUAAACUUCUUUUAUAAAGGAAUAAAGUGAGGCACGUGUGCUUUUUUGAAUGUACUUUAUGAAUAAGGAUCGGCUAACUCCGUGUCAGCAGCCGCGGUAAUACGGAGGAUUCGAGUGUUAUCCGGAUUUAUUGGGUUUAAAGGGAGCGUAGAUGGGUUGUUAAGUCAGUUGUGAAAGUUUGCGGCUUAACCGUAAAAUUGCAAUUGAUACUGGCAGCCUUGAGUACAGUUGAGAUAGGCGGAAUUCGUUGUGGAGCGGUGGAAUGCUUAGAUAUCACGAAGAACUCCGAUUGCGAAGGCAGCUUACUAAACUGCCACUGACAUUGAUGCUCGAAAGUGUGGGUAUCAAACAGGAUUAGAUACCCCGGUAGUC
This 460-nucleotide ribosomal RNA is filed under the name uncultured bacterium. Its description in RNAcentral is "partial 16S ribosomal RNA". It matches the Rfam family "Bacterial small subunit ribosomal RNA", at positions 338 to 795 of the family's 1533-position model. The record is from RNAcentral.